AUACGAAGGGUGCAAGCGUUAAUCGGAAUUACUGGGCGUAAAGCGCGCGUAGGUGGUUUUGUAAGUUGGAGGUGAAAGCCCCGGGCUCAACCUGGGAAUUGCCUCCAAAACUGCAUGACUAGAGUACGGUAGAGGGUAGUGGAAUUUCCUGUGUAGCGGUGAAAUGCGUAGAUAUAGGAAGGAACACCAGUGGCGAAGGCGACUACCUGGACUGAUACUGACACUGAGGUGCGAAAGCGUGGGGAGCAAACAGGAUUAGAUCCCCGGGUAGUCCACGCCGUAAACGAUGUCAACUAGCCGUUGGGAUCCUUGAGAUCUUAGUGGCGCAGCUAACGCAUUAAGUUGACCGCCUGGGGAGUACGGCCGCAAGGUUAAAACUCAAAUGAAUUGACGGGG
Molecule: ribosomal RNA, 396 nt
Filed under: uncultured bacterium
Lineage: Bacteria
Description: partial 16S ribosomal RNA
Rfam family: Bacterial small subunit ribosomal RNA
Source: RNAcentral